UAUUGGGCAAUGGAGGAAACUCUGACCCAGCAACGCCGCGUGUAUGAAGAAGGCCUUCGGGUUGUAAAGUACUUUCAGCGGGGAGGAAGGGAGUAAAGUUAAUACCUUUGCUCAUUGACGUUACCCGCAGAAGAAGCAACGGCUAACUCCGUGCCGGCAGCCGCGGUAAUACGGAGGGUGCAAGCGUUAAUCGGAAUUACUGGGCGUAAAGCGCACGCAGGCGGUUUGUUAAGUCAGCUGUGAAAUCCCCGGGCUCAACCUGGGAACUGCAUCUGAUACUGGCAAGCUUGAGUCUCGUAGAGGGGGGUAGAAUUCCAGGUGUAGCGGUGAAAUGCGUAGAGAUCUGGAGGAAUACCGGUGGCGAAGGCGGCCCCCUGGACGAAGACUGACGCUCAGGUGCGAAAGCGUGGGGAGCAAA
This 418-nucleotide ribosomal RNA is filed under the name uncultured bacterium. Its description in RNAcentral is "bacterial SSU rRNA". It matches the Rfam family "Bacterial small subunit ribosomal RNA", at positions 362 to 772 of the family's 1533-position model. The record is from RNAcentral.